This 79-nucleotide unclassified non-coding RNA is filed under the name Halpernia frigidisoli. RNAcentral's name for it is "Chryseobacterium frigidisoli Flavo-1 RNA". Lineage: Bacteria; Pseudomonadati; Bacteroidota; Flavobacteriia; Flavobacteriales; Weeksellaceae. The record is from RNAcentral.
UUGCAGCCCGACUUGAGUGGAGCUCUUUUAUGUGCAGCGAAGCGGAACAAAAAAAGCGGGAACGGAAGGCGGAUAAAGC